RNAcentral lists this ribosomal RNA (253 nucleotides) under uncultured bacterium. Its description in RNAcentral is "partial 16S ribosomal RNA". It matches the Rfam family "Bacterial small subunit ribosomal RNA", at positions 524 to 776 of the family's 1533-position model. The record is from RNAcentral.
UACGUAGGUGGCAAGCGUUGUCCGGAUUUACUGGGCGUAAAGAGCGCGCAGGCGGUCGUUCAAGUCGCGUGUGAAAGCCCCCGGCUCAACUGGGGAGGGUCACGCGAUACUGAUCGACUCGAAGGCAGGAGAGGGUAGUGGAAUUCCCGGUGUAGCGGUGGAAUGCGCAGAUAUCAGGAGGAACACCGGUGGCGAAGGCGGGUCUCUGGGCAGUAACUGACGCUGAGGAGCGAAAGCGUGGGGAGCGAACGGG